Molecule: long non-coding RNA, 582 nt
Filed under: Sus scrofa (pig)
Lineage: Eukaryota; Metazoa; Chordata; Mammalia; Artiodactyla; Suidae
Description: lncRNA (ENSSSCG00040043329.1)
Source: RNAcentral
AUGGCCUUCCUUUGCACAAGAUUGGCAUGGUGGACCUUGAAGGGGGCUCCUCGGGGCUCUUCUGGACCAAAUACUCCUUCUCCGGCUGGCCAGGAGGACCUGGCAAUCACAAGAAGGAGUCAUUCCCACGACCUUUCACCUGUGGGGCCCUUCCCUAGGCUGGGGCUGGGUUUCACACUCACUGCCCUGAUUUCCUCUCAAAGGAGGAAAAAAAUCUUUGGCCAUGAAGAAGCACAAGCGUUUUAACCAACCCGUCCAUCCUAGGGAGCUCAGACCUGCUUCUCCCAUUGACAGCAUGUUGGGUUUCUGACGCCUCCUGAUUCCCUGCUGUAUUCUGAUGUUCACAACCCCCGCCCCCCCACCCAGAAGCCCAGGCUGCUUCAGAGUAUGUGUCUCUUCAGCUCCAACAUGGACAGAGCGCACCCACCUUACCCUGAGGUAUUUCUUGUGCCGUAUUACAUAUUCAAAUGCAAUUACAAAACAGGAUCUUAUGGAGUAAAUAUCGUGAUGUCAAUAGUUUCCACUAUCGUAAUAAUUUACGUAAGACAGAAAAAUCACUUCCAGAAUCUGAGCAAGUCUAAG